UGUUGCGAAGCUCUUAUAUUUUACCUUUCUGACACUCGACGAUAGUUCAACGAUAAAGACGUGGCCGUUUACAAUGCAGAACAAAUAUCUGAUUUGGGAAUAAAUUACUCUUUUUGAGUCGGUUGAACCGGUCUGAAUAAUCGACGGAAUCGUCCGUUCUCAUCUGAAUCAGUCGGGCGGUUCCUUCAGACGACACAGGAACCUUUUCGCGCGCAUUUAGCCAGUUGUACAUCCUCACUCUUUGACACUGUUUCAGGAUUCAGGAGUUGUUUGAGAUUAACAGAACUAAGUAAAAGUAUUCAUAUGUUUACUAGUCUGCAGUCCGAAGAUAAAGCCAAAAGAUCCUUACCAAGACAUCAAACAUAUUCAGUGAAUGAGACCAAUGAGUAUGAGCUGAAGAAAGUGUCUACAUCCACAUCAGGGAUGGGCAACUGGCGGCCCGCCACGUGACGGCCCGCUGGACAUUUGAAAAGCAG
Long non-coding RNA from Ctenopharyngodon idella (grass carp), 476 nucleotides. RefSeq lists it as uncharacterized. The record is from RefSeq and is a predicted model, not a curated record. The transcript is spliced from 2 exons. Lineage: Eukaryota; Metazoa; Chordata; Actinopteri; Cypriniformes; Xenocyprididae.